RNAcentral lists this long non-coding RNA (501 nucleotides) under Lathyrus oleraceus (garden pea). Its description in RNAcentral is "Pisum sativum (pea) long non-coding RNA (PSAT_LNC018532)". The record is from RNAcentral. Lineage: Eukaryota; Viridiplantae; Streptophyta; Magnoliopsida; Fabales; Fabaceae.
CCGAUACUCCAAAAUAGUCAAAGUAUCGGUGUCUAACACAUAUCUAACACCAUAUACCUGUCCGAUACAGAAAACUAUAUAUCAUGUUUGAUUAUAGCACACAUUUUCAGAACUGUUAGAUUAAAACACACUCAAUCAUAAUAACAUAUCCUGUGAAAUUAGUGGUCUAAACUUUGUGCCUAUAUACUAUUUAAGACUACAUGCACAACAAAAACUUUUGUGUUUCUCCCAGCUAAUUCAUUCAUGGAAAACAUACUGCUAUCAUAAAGUAAUCCUUACACUAUACAUCAGUAAUAACAAUUACAAUUUUUUGUCAAGAGAAAGGACUUAGUUCCAAGGAACUCAUUUCAUAUCAAUUUAUUCAAUCUAAUGUGACUCACUUACAAGGCAAAACAUAACAAAUAUAAUAUGAAUAAAUUAGACAAUUUAGAGAGGACUGCAAAAUGCAUCUACUCAUAUAUGAGGAAAUAACAUAGAUUAAACUUACAAUAUGAAUGUCUA